RNAcentral lists this long non-coding RNA (780 nucleotides) under Mytilus galloprovincialis (Mediterranean mussel). Lineage: Eukaryota; Metazoa; Mollusca; Bivalvia; Mytilida; Mytilidae. The record is from RNAcentral.
GAAAUCUAUCAGCUGUCAAAAAUAUUGAUCUAAGCAAUCGAUGUUUUGAAAUCGUUUUCCGGUUUAGUUUCUUGUCAAAAACAAUGUCAUAUCAUUAAUCUUCUAGGCAAAACGAUGUUUCUGGGACUUGGGGGAUACAAUCAGGACGCGUGAUUAGAUCUAUUGCAGUUUGCUAAUCAGCUGAUUACGAAAUCGAUUACAAAAUGGCGUCCUAGUGAACUUUUGUUUACGUUUGAAGGGAAAUAACUCGAGCGGUAUUCAUAAAAUAUGUCUUUCAGUACCGUAAAGGCAUGGCGUCAGGAAUUUCGACAAAACUAGGGCAGGGCGCCAAAUUUUUUUCCCAAAAAGGGCAGGGCGUCGAGAAAUCGCGGCAGGGCGCCAUUACACGCCAAAACCACCUGUAGGAAACACUAAUUACAUACACUCUGCAGCUAAAGAUUUUAAAACAUUAGAUUUUAUAAACCAUCCUGGAUUUUUACCCAAUUUUGACAGAAGCUUCUUAUAGUACUUAAGUCAAAAGAUAGUAUCUAGAGGAAAAUUUUAAUAUUUUUUUCCUCAUUUUUGUUGAGCCUGCGAUUAACAGCAAAAGUAGGCGAGACUAUUUGUUCUGCAAAACUCUUACAAUUGUAAUAGCUUAAUACAUCGAUAACCCAUCUCCAGCUAGGGUUGAAUUGAAUCACAUGAAUACGUAUUCAAUGAGGUCCAAAUAUUCACUAGCAAGUGCACAACUCAUCAACCUUGUUUCGCAGCUUAUUUAACAAAAUAGAACCAGAUUGGCUG